UUUAUUCAGAGUUGGUAGUCAGUGAGAUUAUAUACUGAAAGUCUUAAAGAGCAUUGAGAGGAGAAUAAUAAGGAAAGCAAAGCUGCCUUUGCAGCUGGCGUGAAAAGAAGAAGGCCAGCGUUAGAAAAGGAAGCUGCUUUGGAACUGGACAAGGCGGGCAGAGGAGCUGCUUUGGCAGCUGGAUAGGUCAGAAACAAGAAGAAAAAGAAAAGUCAAAAAGUUAGUGAGGGCAGCGAGGCUGCCAGGAGGAAAAGAAAAAAAAAAUAAUAAAAAGAUGCUGCCCAAAGUAGCGCAGAAAACGGGUUAAAGAGAGCAGCGCGCGAGGAAAUACGGGGGGGAGAGAGGGACGGAAAGAAGCAGCCAAGCUGCCUUUGGCAGCUUGAGAGACAGACAGAGGAAAAGAAACGAAGGAGGUGACACGGGGCAGGAGAAGAAGGCUAAAGCUGCCAUUUGGCAGCUUGAGCAGGGGGGAUUGGAAAGAGUCGCAGGGGGGUCACAAGCUGCCUUUGGCAGUUUGACUGGCAGGACAGUGCGGCAUGGCAGGAGAGAAGUGACGCAGGGAGUGAGGGCAGAAGCACAGAAACGCAGCAGAUCUUAUUCUCUCGGUUAAAUCUUUCCAACUUAUGAUUAAUUUUUGGUUUAAUUUUAGAAUAAUGUGUAGCUAAAUUUAUUUUGGCUAGAGGUUAAUUCAAAGCCAUGAAUAUAUUUGUAAUAUGAAUUGAUUACCUUCGGUUGUGAUUUCAUAAGUUGUGAUUUCAAUUUACUUAUCCGUU
Molecule: long non-coding RNA, 773 nt
Filed under: Malus domestica (apple)
Lineage: Eukaryota; Viridiplantae; Streptophyta; Magnoliopsida; Rosales; Rosaceae
Description: long non-coding RNA (MDOM_LNC008574)
Source: RNAcentral